RNAcentral lists this ribosomal RNA (1167 nucleotides) under Triticum aestivum (bread wheat). RNAcentral's name for it is "partial small subunit ribosomal RNA". Lineage: Eukaryota; Viridiplantae; Streptophyta; Magnoliopsida; Poales; Poaceae. The record is from RNAcentral.
AUGUCUAGUUCUACCUUGUCGUUCUGUUCGUGGAAUAUAAGAGGUUUAGGGAAUGAUGGAAAAUGUACUGAAGUUCUAUCUGAAUUAAUCUCUCUAAAACCAAAUCUCCUCCUACUUCGGGAAACUAAACUCUCCGCCCCUACUCAGCUAAAACUCAGAUCCUUUCUCCCCUCGUUUCUCGAUGACGCUAGCUUUCUACCAGCUUGUGGCACUGCAGGUGGACUUCUAACAGUCGUCUCUACCUCCUCCUUAUCGGUUAAAUCACAUGCCAAUCACUCUUUUUGUAGCUCUGUUACGCUACAAUCUCUAGCUUGCCAAACCCCUUUCGUUGUUACCAACGUGUAUGCGCCAACUGCUCGAUCCCUCAAAAGUGUUUUCUUGGACGAACUGAAAAGUAUUGCUCCACUGGACAACACUCCAUGGCUAGUCAUAGGCGACUUCAACCUGAUUCGUUUUCCCCAUGAGAAAAAUAAUCCCAAUUUUCAUCAUCUAGAAGCAUCUCUUUUGAAUGACGCCUUGGAUCAUCUCGCGCUUCUAGAAUUACCUCUUCUAGACAGGAAGUUCACCUGGUCAAAUAACCAAGACUCACCUGUUCUGGAACGCCUCGACCGUGCCUUCUUCAACAUUGCUUGGAAUAAUUCCUUCCCAAACUGCUCACUCACCUCCCUGCCUCGUCUCACUUCUGAUCAUGUUCCACUUGUCGUCUCCAUCUCGACCUCCAUCCCUCGCUCCCGCCUCUUUAGGUUUGAACGCUCCUGGGCCCUGCACCCGGCCUGCCGACGUAUCAUAGCCCAGUCUGCCGCCCAGCGCAUCCGCUCCAGCCCAUCCUCCUCCUCCAACCUGGCCCAAACGCUUCAAACCUGCCGCUUGCGCCUCAAACAAUGGGCUAAAACCCUUAGACCUCCACCUGUCAGGGAAAAAAGAUGCAAGACUAUUCUUAAUCUGAUUGAUGCCAAAGAAGAAUCUCGCCCUCUCUCCGUUGCUGAGGCCUCGCUGCGAUCUGUCCUAAAGCGCCCCCUCCAUCGAGCCAUCCGCGAUCGUAUGAUGGCAACCAGACAGCGGGCAAAAGUUAAGCGCGCCAUCUGGGGGGACGAAAACUCAAAAAAAAUCACAUCUCUGCCUCCCAACGUUUCCGUAAAAAUCAGAUCCCUUCGCUUCGAAAUCUAG